RNAcentral lists this transfer RNA (73 nucleotides) under Rhipicephalus microplus (southern cattle tick). Its description in RNAcentral is "tRNA-Arg". It matches the Rfam family "tRNA". Rfam says of the family: Transfer RNA (tRNA) molecules are approximately 80 nucleotides in length. Their secondary structure includes four short double-helical elements and three loops (D, anti-codon, and T loops). Further hydrogen bonds mediate the characteristic L-shaped molecular structure. tRNAs have two regions of fundamental functional importance: the anti-codon, which is responsible for specific mRNA codon recognition, and the 3' end, to which the tRNAs corresponding amino acid is attached (by aminoacyl-tRNA synthetases). tRNAs cope with the degeneracy of the genetic code in two manners: having more than one tRNA (with a specific anti-codon) for a particular amino acid; and 'wobble' base-pairing, i.e. permitting non-standard base-pairing at the 3rd anti-codon position. Lineage: Eukaryota; Metazoa; Arthropoda; Arachnida; Ixodida; Ixodidae. The record is from Rfam by way of RNAcentral.
GCCCUCGUGACCUAACGGAUAAGGCAUCGGUCUUCUAAACCGGAGAUUGCGGGUUCGAGUCCCGCCGAGGGUG